Molecule: ribosomal RNA, 1093 nt
Filed under: Storeatula sp. CCMP1868
Lineage: Eukaryota; Cryptophyceae; Pyrenomonadales; Pyrenomonadaceae
Description: large subunit ribosomal RNA
Rfam family: Bacterial large subunit ribosomal RNA
Source: RNAcentral
GAUGCCAAAAAUACUGCUCUUCAAGGAACAUUUAGUUGUCAGGUUAUUAUUUAAUGAAGUGGUGUUUUUGAAUAUCAAAUGAAUAACUAGGUAUAAUAAUAAAAACGUAAUAGAUAAACGAAAAUUUAUAGUGAAAAGUUAAUAAUUGUGAUCUAUAGUUUUUUAAAAAGGUAACUUUAAUGUUAGUUAAAUAUCGAAAUAGUGAAAUAAAACAUUUUAGUAACUAAAAGAAAAAUCAACUGAGAUUUUGUAAGUAGUGGCAAGCGAAAGCAAAUACAAAAAAUUAUUAAGAAAAUAACAAAAAAGUUUUAGAAAACUUGCAAAAAAGGUAAAAGCCCUGUAUAAGUUUUUAAGAUUAAUUUAAUAGUAAAAAAAAACAAGUAAUUUUUUUUUGAAGAAUUUUUGGAGUACCAUCUUCAAUUUGUAAAUAUUAUUUUAUAACCGAUAGUAAAAAGUAUUGUAAAAGAAAGUUGAAAAGAACUUGAAAUUUAGUAUUAACGAUUUGUCAAAGUCUUUUGUAUCAUGAACUAGCAAGUUUAUUUUUACAGAAAGCUUAAAUUAGAAAAAAAUAUAGGCUUAGUGAAAAUAAAACCCGAAACCAAUUGACUUAGUUGUAAGCAAGCUAAAAAUAUAGUAAAUUAUAUAUCAAUUCUAAGUUCGUAGUUGUUGUAAAAGCCUGAAGUGACUUACGAUUAAAGGUGAAAGAGCAAACAAAAUCAAUCAUAAUUGAUUUGUUGCAAUAAACAUUUAGGUAUUGUGUAAAAAAGGUAAAGCUCUUUUAAAAUAAACUUUCAUUCGAUAUAUUUUAAAAAACUCCGAAUGUUUUAUAAUUUUUUUAUAGUCAGACUUUAUUGCGUUAAGGUUUAAAGUCAAAAAAUAAAUAUUCAGACUUCUUACCUAAACUUAGUUAACUGUAAUAUAGCAGUUGACCUCGAAAGACGUUUAAAGCAUUUUCUAGUACAAUUGAAAAAAAAGCUUAUUGAGAAUCCAUCCCUAUCUCGUCCGUCUGGUGUUGAGUGUGCCUUUAUUACAUUUGAUAACGAUGGAAACAUCUCUCAUAAUAUGACAAAAAUUGGUAAGCUAAAUUAAUCGG